Molecule: ribosomal RNA, 445 nt
Filed under: uncultured bacterium
Lineage: Bacteria
Description: SSU rRNA
Rfam family: Bacterial small subunit ribosomal RNA
Source: RNAcentral
AGAGCGAACGCUGGCGGCAGGCCUAACACAUGCAAGUCGAGCGCCCCGCAAGGGGAGCGGCAGACGGGAGAGUAACACGUGGGAACGUACCCUUCAGUUCGGAACAACCCAGGGAAACUUGGGCUAAUACCGAAUACGUCCGUAAGGAGAAAGAUUUAUCGCUGAAGGAUCGGCCCGCGUCUGAUUAGCUAGUUGGUGAGGUAACGGCUCACCAAGGCUACGAUCAGUAGCUGGUCUGAGAGGAUGAUCAGCCUCACUGGGACUGAGACACGGCCCAGACUCCUACGGGAGGCAGCAGUGGGGAAUAUUGGACAAUGGGCGCAAGCCUGAUCCAGCCAUGCCGCGUGGAUGAUGAAGGCCUUAGGGUUGUAAAGUCCUUUCGACGGGGAAGAUAAUGACGGUACCCGUAGAAGAAGCCCCGGCUAACGUUCGCGCCAGCAGCCGC